AGGGGGAUAGCUCAGUGGUAGAGCGUGUGGUUAGCAUGCAGGAGGCCCUGGGUUCAAUUCCCAGUACCUCCA
This 72-nucleotide transfer RNA is filed under the name Camelus bactrianus (Bactrian camel). It matches the Rfam family "tRNA". From Rfam's summary of the family: Transfer RNA (tRNA) molecules are approximately 80 nucleotides in length. Their secondary structure includes four short double-helical elements and three loops (D, anti-codon, and T loops). RNAcentral also lists the same sequence under 3 other names. Lineage: Eukaryota; Metazoa; Chordata; Mammalia; Artiodactyla; Camelidae. The record is from Rfam by way of RNAcentral.